Molecule: ribosomal RNA, 482 nt
Filed under: uncultured bacterium
Lineage: Bacteria
Description: partial 16S ribosomal RNA
Rfam family: Bacterial small subunit ribosomal RNA
Source: RNAcentral
GACGAACGCUGGCGGCGUGCUUAACACAUGCCAGUCGAACGAUGAAGCAGAGAAACGCGCACUUCGGUUCAAAUUUCACUUCGGAUUAGUGGCAGACGGGUGAGUAACGCGUGAGCAACCUACCUCUUACAAAGGGAUAGCCUCGGGAAACCGUGAUUAAUACCAUAUGACACAUUCAUAAGGCAUCUUAAGAAUGUUAAAGCUACGGCGGUAAGAGAUGGGCUCGCGUCCCAUUAGCUAGUUGGUGAGGUAACGGCCCACCAAGGCGACGAUGGGUAACCGGCCUGAGAGGGUGAACGGUCACAUUGGAACUGAGACACGGUCCAAACUCCUACGGGAGGCAGCAGUGGGGAAUAUUGCACAAUGGAGGGAACUCUGAUGCAGCGACGCCGCGUGAGCGAUGAAGGAAUUCGUUUCGUAAAGCUCUGUUCUAUGGGAAGAAAAGGACUGUACCAUAGGAGAAAGCCCCGGCUAAAUACGUG